RNAcentral lists this ribosomal RNA (468 nucleotides) under Escherichia coli. RNAcentral's name for it is "bacterial SSU rRNA". It matches the Rfam family "Bacterial small subunit ribosomal RNA", at positions 30 to 486 of the family's 1533-position model. Lineage: Bacteria; Pseudomonadati; Pseudomonadota; Gammaproteobacteria; Enterobacterales; Enterobacteriaceae. The record is from RNAcentral.
AUUGAACGCUGGCGGCAGGCCUAACACAUGCAAGUCGAACGGUAACAGGAAGAAGCUUGCUUCUUUGCUGACGAGUGGCGGACGGGUGAGUAAUGUCUGGGAAACUGCCUGAUGGAGGGGGAUAACUACUGGAAACGGUAGCUAAUACCGCAUAACGUCGCAAGACCAAAGAGGGGGACCUUCGGGCCUCUUGCCAUCGGAUGUGCCCAGAUGGGAUUAGCUAGUAGGUGGGGUAACGGUUCACCUAGGCGACGAUCCCUAGCUGGUCUGAGAGGAUGACCAGCCACACUGGAACUGAGACACGGUCCAGACUCCUACGGGAGGCAGCAGUGGGGAAUAUUGCACAAUGGGCGCAAGCCUGAUGCAGCCAUGCCGCGUGUAUGAAGAAGGCCUUCGGGUUGUAAAGUACUUUCAGCGGGGAGGAAGGGAGUAAAGUUAAUACCUUUGCUCAUUGACGUACCCGCAGAA